AAGGAAAGAAAAAUGUAGGAAAGAGGAGAAAAAAGAAGAAGAAAAAGAAGAGAAGGUUUGGAAGUGAAUGAAAAGGAAGAAGAAAAUGUCAGUACUGAACAUGGUAAUGGAUAGGUGGAGGCCUCAAUUAGAUGCGAUCCUCUCCACCUUCGUGUCCAUCUACCCUCACGAAACCUCACCUCUCCUUAACUCCUCUUCCUGCUUUUUCUUCAUUUUGAGUGCAUCUUUUGUAGUGUUACCAUUGCGGGAUGAAGGUGCAAUCUCUCUAGGUUUAUCGAAGCUUCCAGCUCUCUUUAUCGGAUCCUUAUUCCUCACCUUGAUUGCUGCUCCUUUAUCAACUCUCCUUUUCUCUUUCCCUAAUUUCUCUAAAUCCAAGGCUUUGUUUUUGAUACACAGGUUUUUUAGCGUUUCUCUUGUUCUCUUGUUCUUUCCAUGGCAUUUCUCUUCCUCUGCUUCUGCUGAGUUUUCGCUCUUCAAGUCAAAGGGUACUGUUGCUAUAUCAACUGAAUUGAAAGAGGGUUUGAAGGUUGAUGUUGACAGAACCAGCAGUACAUAUUCUUGAAGUUGGGAUGAUCAUGGAUGGUUUUAUAUUUCUGUCAGAAUUGGAUUGUUUCUCUGGGUUGCGCUGCUUAAUCUUAUUACCAUAUCGUCGACUUGGGCUAGGGUUAUUGAUGUGAUGGAUAGUGAGGUUCAAGAUUGUUUGGGUUCAUUGGUGCUGGUGCUACACUUGGUCAGCUAUUUGGAUCGUUGUUUGCUACAUCAAUGGCUUGGUUGGGUCCUUAAAAGUUGAUGCUGAUCAGCAUAGUGAGGCUGAUGGACGAUCAUCACCAGCUUUCAAAGUCUCUUCUCCAAAGUCUCCUUCAUCCAGGAUGAGGCCUCAGCUUUGGGUCAUCUUAGAUGGGUUUCGGCUUGUAUUAUCUUCAACUUAUUUGUUGAAUGUGUCUCUAUUCCUGUGGCUGAGUGCAGUUAUUUCUUCAUUCUUCUAUUUUCAG
Long non-coding RNA from Populus nigra (black poplar), 992 nucleotides. RefSeq lists it as uncharacterized. NCBI's taxonomy places the organism in Eukaryota, Viridiplantae, Streptophyta, Magnoliopsida, Malpighiales, Salicaceae. The record is from RefSeq and is a predicted model, not a curated record. The transcript is spliced from 7 exons.